AUCUAGCCAUUCUGUUUAUCAUCAUACAUAUACAUAAAUAAAUAAUCCUUAAUUUAUGAUGGGAUUUGGUUCAACACUGAGAUUGUAAGUUGGACAUUCAGAAGUCAGAAAUGCCCAAAAUUUAUGGAUUGUCCACUACUAAUAGUUAUUAUUACAUUUCACUUUAUCAUAAUAAACUUAAUGAAUACAAAAAUAUAAGAACAAGUUUGGAAAAGGAUGUUUUCAAUAUUUCAGACCAUUGCUCAUGGACUCGAACUCAUGUGAAUUUCAUUGAACAGUCACAGAAUUUAUUGAUUACAACUGAAUUUAUUGAUUA
This 316-nucleotide long non-coding RNA is filed under the name Androctonus crassicauda. The record is from RNAcentral. Lineage: Eukaryota; Metazoa; Arthropoda; Arachnida; Scorpiones; Buthidae.